UAGAUGAUCUGCUAAGAUGCCAGAAAACACU
Molecule: non-coding RNA, 31 nt
Filed under: Mus musculus (house mouse)
Lineage: Eukaryota; Metazoa; Chordata; Mammalia; Rodentia; Muridae
Source: RNAcentral